This 1568-nucleotide small RNA is filed under the name Pan troglodytes (chimpanzee). RNAcentral's name for it is "processed transcript". The record is from RNAcentral. Lineage: Eukaryota; Metazoa; Chordata; Mammalia; Primates; Hominidae.
AGAAAUCCUAGAAAACAGAAAGCAACAGGAAGAUGUCUUAUUGGGAACUACCCCCAUCAACUUCACCAUGAGUCAAACAAGGAAGAAAACUUCCUCAGAAGGAGAAACUAAGCCCCAGACUUCAAUUGUCAACAAAUUUCUCAGGGGCUCCAAUGCUGAAAGCAGAAAAGAAGACAAUGACCUUAAAACAACUGAUUCCCAACCCAGCGACUGGAUACAGAAGACAGCCACCUCAGAGACUGCUAAGCCUCUCAGUUCAGAAAUGGAAUGGAGAUCCAGUAUGGAGAAAAAUGAGCAUUUCCUGCAGAAGCUGGGCAAAAAGGCUGUCAACAAGUGUCUAGAUUUGAAUAACUGUGGAUUAACAACAGCGGACAUGAAAGAAAUGGUUGCCUUGCUGCCUUUUCUCCCAGACUUGGAAGAACUGGAUAUCUCCUGGAAUGGUUUUGUAGGUGGAACCCUCCUUUCCAUCACUCAGCAAAUGCAUCUGGUCAGCAAGUUAAAAAUCUUGAGGCUGGGUAGCUGCAGACUCACCACUGACGAUGUUCAAGCACUGGGAGAAGCACUUGAGAUGAUUCCUGAACUUGAAGAGCUAAAUUUGUCUUGGAACAGUAAAGUGGGAGGAAAUUUGCCUCUGAUCCUUCAGAAGUUCCAAAAAGGGAGCAAGAUACAAAUGAUUGAGCUUGUGGAUUGCUCCCUCACAUCAGAAGAUGGGACAUUUCUGGGUCAACUGCUACCUAUGCUGCAAAGUCUCGAAGUACUUGAUCUUUCCAUCAACAGAGACAUUGUUGGCAGUCUGAACAGUAUUGCUCAGGGAUUAAAAAGCACCUCAAAUCUGAAAGUACUGAAGUUACAUUCAUGUGGAUUAUCACAAAAGAGUGUCAAAAUAUUGGAUGCUGCUUUUAGGUAUUUGGGUGAGCUGAGGAAAUUAGAUCUUUCCUGCAAUAAGGAUCUAGGUGGAGGUUUUGAAGACUCGCCGGCUCAGUUGGUCAUGCUAAAGCAUCUACAAGUCCUAGAUCUUCACCAGUGCUCACUAACAGCAGAUGACGUGAUGUCACUGAACUCUUAUCUCUCAAUUUGGGAAAAUGGGAAGAAUUCAAGACUUUCAUGAAGAUUUAAAAAUGACAAAAUAAUCCCUUUUUGAGCUUUGCGUGAAGCAUUAUGGGUUCCUAACAUCCCCUUUACUUAUCAUAGCCUGAGCGUCAUACCUAGGAAGACAUUCAGAGUUAUUAGCCCACCAGAUUCCCUUGGUACAACUAAAUAACAUGAAUACUACAUCUCAUUUUGCUCCUCAGUGCUGGAGAACCUCAAUUGUUCCCACUAGUAUAACGGAGGACUAAGCUUUCCUUACCUAGGUUCACAGCCACUGACAUGGGUGAAUGGCCCUGGAAAACUAAUAAUUAUUUGAUAACUGUAAUGAAUUGCAUUGCUUUCCUUCUGCUUAAUUCUGAAAAGAUGGAAAUGAAAAUACAUCCUGCUUUAUACUUUACGCUGUUAAAUAAUUGAACAUUCUUUUAUCCGAUCAUUGUAAAUUGCUCCAAAGAAAUGGAAUUAUAGAUCCUUUAAGCAAU